Molecule: long non-coding RNA, 323 nt
Organism: Uloborus diversus
Lineage: Eukaryota; Metazoa; Arthropoda; Arachnida; Araneae; Uloboridae
Exons: 3
Source: RefSeq, a predicted model, not a curated record
UUACAGGAACUGCAAUUGCAGGCACUGGGAAGUAAAAACAAAAGAAGAUAUUUAAUUAAGUCUUGGAAAGAGUGAAGAAGUAAAACUAAGGAAAGAUGAAUUCCGGAGAUGGCUGUGGAGCGAAUCGCGAGCUGCCGUCAACGUCGAAACGGCAAUCCGAAGAUUCGGAGAAAGAACCUCCCAGGAAAAGAGUGGAAGCUUGUCACGACGCAUCUGGGGAAAUGAAACUCCAUCGCGCCAUCCAAUGCAGCGACCGGUGCGCAACUCUGGCAAUCUCAACGGCCGAACCGAAAGACUUUGGCAUGCAAGAUGAGGGAGGGCGG